This 72-nucleotide transfer RNA is filed under the name Ceratocystis platani. RNAcentral describes it as "tRNA-Gly". It matches the Rfam family "tRNA". Rfam says of the family: Transfer RNA (tRNA) molecules are approximately 80 nucleotides in length. Their secondary structure includes four short double-helical elements and three loops (D, anti-codon, and T loops). The record is from RNAcentral. Lineage: Eukaryota; Fungi; Ascomycota; Sordariomycetes; Microascales; Ceratocystidaceae.
GCAAUCAUAAGUUAACGGUAAACUGCUUGUCUUCCAAACAAGAUUUGUUGGUUCAAAUCCGACUGGUUGUAC